This 429-nucleotide ribosomal RNA is filed under the name Bacteroidota bacterium. Its description in RNAcentral is "Bacteroidetes bacterium partial 16S ribosomal RNA". It matches the Rfam family "Bacterial small subunit ribosomal RNA", at positions 355 to 776 of the family's 1533-position model. The record is from RNAcentral. Lineage: Bacteria; Pseudomonadati; Bacteroidota.
UAGGGAAUCUUCGGCAAUGGGGGGAACCCUGACCGAGCAACGCCGCGUGAGUGAAGAAGGUUUUCGGAUCGUAAAGCUCUGUUGUUAAGGAAGAACGAGUGUGAGAAUGGAAAGUUCAUACUGUGACGGUACUUAACCAGAAAGGGACGGCUAACUACGUGCCAGCAGCCGCGGUAAUACGUAGGUCCCGAGCGUUGUCCGGAUUUAUUUGGCGUAAAGCGAGCGCAGGCGGUUAGAUAAGUCUGAAGUUAAAGGCAGUGGCUCAACCAUUGUAGGCUUUGGAAACUGUUUAACUUGAGUGCAGAAGGGGAGAGUGGAAUUCCAUGUGUAGCGGUGAAAUGCGUAGAUAUAUGGGGGAACACCGGUGGCGAAAGCGGCUCUCUGGUCUGUAACUGACGCUGAGGCUAGAAAGCGUGGGGAGCGAACAGG